Molecule: long non-coding RNA, 3156 nt
Organism: Homo sapiens (human)
Lineage: Eukaryota; Metazoa; Chordata; Mammalia; Primates; Hominidae
Product: long intergenic non-protein coding RNA 2762
Source: Ensembl
GGCUCCGGGCGGGCGUGGUCCCUCUUGCGGGCGCCUGGGCUGGUCGGGCGGAUCCCGGAGAGGGGGAGCCGCGGGGACGCAGCGACAGACUCGGGGUGCUGGCAGCGGCAGCCCACGCCUCCCAGGGAUUGCAGGCCUGGGCGCCGGGGUUGGACCAGUCUCCCGGGCAUGGCACGCCCUGGUUAUUCUGUACCCGUGAUUUGUGGCGGGGCAAGACGUUAAGUUGGGUGACACCGAGGUGAGCCACGGUCCUCGGCACCAGAUGAGGAACCACUGUCUCAAUAAGGUCUCAGUGCUGUGUGUGUAAUGGUUACCGUGAGAGCUUCCCUGCAAUCCGAAUUUGUGUGUCUCAUUCUCAGUGACACCAGUGAUGCUGUUAAACAAGGACAAUCCGGUUCAUGGAUUGUGACAACGCACGCUGACAUCAAGCAGACCCUGCCGUCAGGUACAGAGGGCACCACAGUGACCAGGAACUGCUGUCCUUUCAUACCAGGUUUUAGGAGGCUUUACCAGAAGGAAUGGAAAAUGCUGGUGGGCAGUAAGAUUGAAACAGCAUCUGAGGACUGGUUCUGCACAAAACCUUAAAUUCUUCAAGGACUUUGACAUUUGUUUAUUCUUGUAACAAAUUAAAACCUAUCCUGUGUGUUGGUUAGAGAUCUUCAAACUGUAAAUACCUUGAGGCAGGAGUGAGGUUUUUAUCUUUUAAAGGACAGGCCCCUACUCUCCUACGUAAUGAGUUUCUAAAAAUGGAUGUGAGCACCAAUCAAUAUUUCUCUGGUUGUUAAAGUCAAGAAUAAAAUGGUAUUUUUAAGCUCGCAACUGUGUAGGAUGAAUUCUGUACACUUUUAUUUCCCUCUGUUCUCCUUUCCUAUUUGAAAGUUUAUUAGUUUGUGGACUUGGGAUCGGAUUAUUCAUGCAUUAUUUUUUGAUGUUGUAUGUCUCUUGGUUCUUGGGUAUUUUUGACACAUAUUCUGUCUUGUAACCAUAGUUAAACAAUUGUUUUAGACCAACUCUCUGUGUGUAAUUGGCUUCAACACUCACUGCUAGUCCUUUGACGCUCUGUUUUUUUCCAUUCUUGAGUAAUUUUAAGUCAUCACUUGGGCAGUUGAAAUAUAUUUUAAAGUGAUUUAAAGAAUAUGUGAGUGGCAGACAUUCUGAACUCUUUUGGUUGUCUGUCCUCAAAAACUAAAACUUAUUUGUGAGUAAAAUUUUCAUCUAAGUGUUUUCCAUAUAAAAACUCUGUCAGCUACUGCUCCAUUGUAGUAGACACAAAAAAGUCAGCACAAUUUUCAUCCCUCCCUCCCUCCCUUCUCUUCCCCUUCCCCUUCUUGCCCUCCUUCCUUCCUUCCUUCUUUCCUUCCUUCCUUCCUUCCUUCCUUCCUUCCUUCCUUCCUUCCUUUUUCUUUUGUUUCUGAAUGUACAAAGAAAACACUUAAAAAUUUGCUUGUAAUUUAAAAACUUGUCAGGAUAUUUCUGGAUUUGAGUGUUUCUUGGUUACUUUUACCUGGAACCUGGUGAACUGAGUCCAUUCCUCUGUUUGCCCUUUCUGUACUUUUUUGGAAAGUUUUCUUUAAUUAUAUCUUCAAUUAUUGUUUCUCUUUUGAUUGUUCUAGAUUCUUCUUCAGAAACAUAACUCUUAGGCUCAAUCUCUAUUCCUGGUCUUCCAUAGCUAUCGUCUUCUUUUUAAAGUACUGUAUUUUAUUGAAUCUAAGCUAGUAUUUGUUGUAAGAAGCACUAUUAUUAUAUGUACAACUAAGGAAGAAAAAAUGCUGCCAAUUAAACUGUGACAUAAUGCCAUGAUUACAGUCCUGUGAAAUUGGUAAGUUGCUCACACCAUUCUCUCUCUUAUUUUGAUAGACUUCAUCUAUUUUGAGGGACUUGGCAGUUGCUCCUGCCUUUGGUUGCAUUGUUUGGCAUGUGACAGGCAAUUCUUUUUGCAUGAGUCUCAGUUACAAAACAUAACACAGUUUCUACUUAAGGAUACCUUCUUUUCUUGGGUCCUGUCAAGCACUUAGUUUAAAAAAAAAAAAAGAAUUGCAGUGGUUGGUCCAAUAAUAGACAUUUGCUUCAGUAAUAUCAAAUUACAUCCUGCUGCUUGAAUUCCAUGCCUUUCUGCAUACAUAAUAACUUCUCAUUUCAAUGCCAAACCAUAGUGUAAUCUUUUAAAAGACAUUUUAAAUGGCAAUUAAACUCACAUGUAAUUGCAACAAUGUAUACAACUCAAUUAAAGUGCUAACAACAUGAACAACUGAGACCAAGUUCACCCAUGCCCAGGUCUUGAUGACCUCACCAUGGCAGCUCCCUGGCCCAGGGUGAUUAUAAGAUGCCAGUGAUUGCAAGACUUGGCCUGAUUUCAGAAGUGAUGAUGUGGCAACACAGACAUCUUAGAAUUAAGGAAAUAGUUUUAAUUCUUGGUGCUCUUUCUUGGCAUUCUGAAAGUGUUCCUCCAGUUUGCCAUCUAAGAUAUUCCUUAGUUUUCUGCCAUGUCCAUUUCACUCAUUUACUCCUUCCUAUAUGACUUUUAAUUAUUGUUUAAUAAUUUAAUUUUCUUGGGAAUAUCUUUCUCUUGUUACAACCAGUUUCCUUUAUAUCUUUUCUUGGACUCCAUUGGCCAAAUUCUCUUUCAUAAGCCUGAAGCCCCUAAUAUUUACCCUGAGACUGUAUUCUAGUUAGUAGAAUGUGAAUGGAGGUGAUGUGUGUGACAUAUAGGACUUCCCCAUAAGAGCCUUUAAUGAGUUGUCCUCUGUUCUCUUUCCCCUCUUCCAGCUGAGUGCCAUGAGAGGACAGUGACAACCUUGGGGCCUCAUGGUGAAGGUGGCAGAAACUUUGUUAGCCUGGGUGCUCAGGGUGGACAGCUGCUCUUGCCAACCGGGAACAUUUGCCUUGAGCUCUUUUGUAAGUGACAGAUAAGCUUUUAUUGUACUUCAGCCAAGAUACAAACAUUGGACGUAUUUGUACAGCAGCUAAAGGUACUAUAAUAAUACAUAUUCUGAAAUCACUAUGUACCCUAAAAUAUUUUAACAAAAUUCUUGCAAUAUUUGUAUGAGAACUGCUGGAUUUUGCUUUCUUACCAAAUUUGCUGUUGCUACUGAAAAAAGAGAAUAACUUGGACAAUGAAAUGAUCUCAAAUGAGGUAAUAAAAUCAUUACUGAAUUU